RNAcentral lists this ribosomal RNA (2931 nucleotides) under Escherichia coli. RNAcentral describes it as "23S ribosomal RNA". It matches the Rfam family "Bacterial large subunit ribosomal RNA". Lineage: Bacteria; Pseudomonadati; Pseudomonadota; Gammaproteobacteria; Enterobacterales; Enterobacteriaceae. The record is from RNAcentral.
GGGUUGUGAGGUUAAGCGACUAAGCGUACACGGUGGAUGCCCUGGCAGUCAGAGGCGAUGAAGGACGUGCUAAUCUGCGAUAAGCGUCGGUAAGGUGAUAUGAACCGUUAUAACCGGCGAUUUCCGAAUGGGGAAACCCAGUGUGUUUCGACACACUAUCAUUAACUGAAUCCAUAGGUUAAUGAGGCGAACCGGGGGAACUGAAACAUCUAAGUACCCCGAGGAAAAGAAAUCAACCGAGAUUCCCCCAGUAGCGGCGAGCGAACGGGGAGCAGCCCAGAGCCUGAAUCAGUAUGUGUGUUAGUGGAAGCGUCUGGAAAGGCGCGCGAUACAGGGUGACAGCCCCGUACACAAAAAUGCACAUGCUGUGAGCUCGAUGAGUAGGGCGGGACACGUGGUAUCCUGUCUGAAUAUGGGGGGACCAUCCUCCAAGGCUAAAUACUCCUGACUGACCGAUAGUGAACCAGUACCGUGAGGGAAAGGCGAAAAGAACCCCGGCGAGGGGAGUGAAAAAGAACCUGAAACCGUGUACGUACAAGCAGUGGGAGCACGCUUCGGCGUGUGACUGCGUACCUUUUGUAUAAUGGGUCAGCGACUUAUAUUCUGUAGCAAGGUUAACCGAAUAGGGGAGCCGAAGGGAAACCGAGUCUUAACUGGGCGUUAAGUUGCAGGGUAUAGACCCGAAACCCGGUGAUCUAGCCAUGGGCAGGUUGAAGGUUGGGUAACACUAACUGGAGGACCGAACCGACUAAUGUUGAAAAAUUAGCGGAUGACUUGUGGCUGGGGGUGAAAGGCCAAUCAAACCGGGAGAUAGCUGGUUCUCCCCGAAAGCUAUUUAGGUAGCGCCUCGUGAAUUCAUCUCCGGGGGUAGAGCACUGUUUCGGCAAGGGGGUCAUCCCGACUUACCAACCCGAUGCAAACUGCGAAUACCGGAGAAUGUUAUCACGGGAGACACACGGCGGGUGCUAACGUCCGUCGUGAAGAGGGAAACAACCCAGACCGCCAGCUAAGGUCCCAAAGUCAUGGUUAAGUGGGAAACGAUGUGGGAAGGCCCAGACAGCCAGGAUGUUGGCUUAGAAGCAGCCAUCAUUUAAAGAAAGCGUAAUAGCUCACUGGUCGAGUCGGCCUGCGCGGAAGAUGUAACGGGGCUAAACCAUGCACCGAAGCUGCGGCAGCGACGCUUAUGCGUUGUUGGGUAGGGGAGCGUUCUGUAAGCCUGUGAAGGUGUGCUGUGAGGCAUGCUGGAGGUAUCAGAAGUGCGAAUGCUGACAUAAGUAACGAUAAAGCGGGUGAAAAGCCCGCUCGCCGGAAGACCAAGGGUUCCUGUCCAACGUUAAUCGGGGCAGGGUGAGUCGACCCCUAAGGCGAGGCCGAAAGGCGUAGUCGAUGGGAAACAGGUUAAUAUUCCUGUACUUGGUGUUACUGCGAAGGGGGGACGGAGAAGGCUAUGUUGGCCGGGCGACGGUUGUCCCGGUUUAAGCGUGUAGGCUGGUUUUCCAGGCAAAUCCGGAAAAUCAAGGCUGAGGCGUGAUGACGAGGCACUACGGUGCUGAAGCAACAAAUGCCCUGCUUCCAGGAAAAGCCUCUAAGCAUCAGGUAACAUCAAAUCGUACCCCAAACCGACACAGGUGGUCAGGUAGAGAAUACCAAGGCGCUUGAGAGAACUCGGGUGAAGGAACUAGGCAAAAUGGUGCCGUAACUUCGGGAGAAGGCACGCUGAUAUGUAGGUGAAGUCCCUCGCGGAUGGAGCUGAAAUCAGUCGAAGAUACCAGCUGGCUGCAACUGUUUAUUAAAAACACAGCACUGUGCAAACACGAAAGUGGACGUAUACGGUGUGACGCCUGCCCGGUGCCGGAAGGUUAAUUGAUGGGGUCAGCGCAAGCGAAGCUCUUGAUCGAAGCCCCGGUAAACGGCGGCCGUAACUAUAACGGUCCUAAGGUAGCGAAAUUCCUUGUCGGGUAAGUUCCGACCUGCACGAAUGGCGUAAUGAUGGCCAGGCUGUCUCCACCCGAGACUCAGUGAAAUUGAACUCGCUGUGAAGAUGCAGUGUACCCGCGGCAAGACGGAAAGACCCCGUGAACCUUUACUAUAGCUUGACACUGAACAUUGAGCCUUGAUGUGUAGGAUAGGUGGGAGGCUUUGAAGUGUGGACGCCAGUCUGCAUGGAGCCGACCUUGAAAUACCACCCUUUAAUGUUUGAUGUUCUAACGUGGACCCGUGAUCCGGGUUGCGGACAGUGUCUGGUGGGUAGUUUGACUGGGGCGGUCUCCUCCUAAAGAGUAACGGAGGAGCACGAAGGUUGGCUAAUCCUGGUCGGACAUCAGGAGGUUAGUGCAAUGGCAUAAGCCAGCUUGACUGCGAGCGUGACGGCGCGAGCAGGUGCGAAAGCAGGUCAUAGUGAUCCGGUGGUUCUGAAUGGAAGGGCCAUCGCUCAACGGAUAAAAGGUACUCCGGGGAUAACAGGCUGAUACCGCCCAAGAGUUCAUAUCGACGGCGGUGUUUGGCACCUCGAUGUCGGCUCAUCACAUCCUGGGGCUGAAGUAGGUCCCAAGGGUAUGGCUGUUCGCCAUUUAAAGUGGUACGCGAGCUGGGUUUAGAACGUCGUGAGACAGUUCGGUCCCUAUCUGCCGUGGGCGCUGGAGAACUGAGGGGGGCUGCUCCUAGUACGAGAGGACCGGAGUGGACGCAUCACUGGUGUUCGGGUUGUCAUGCCAAUGGCACUGCCCGGUAGCUAAAUGCGGAAGAGAUAAGUGCUGAAAGCAUCUAAGCACGAAACUUGCCCCGAGAUGAGUUCUCCCUGACCCUUUAAGGGUCCUGAAGGAACGUUGAAGACGACGACGUUGAUAGGCCGGGUGUGUAAGCGCAGCGAUGCGUUGAGCUAACCGGUACUAAUGAACCGUGAGGCUUAACCUUACAACGCCGAAGGUGUUU